GACGUAGGGGGCGAGCGUUGUCCGGAUUUAUUGGGCGUAAAGCGCGCGUAGGCGGCCUGUUAAGUCGGGUGUGAAAACCCGGGGCUCAACCCCGGGCCUGCAUUCGAUACUGGCAGGCUAGAGGCAGGCAGGGGAGAUCGGAAUUCCUGGUGCAGCGGUGAAAUGCGCAGAUAUCAGGAGGAACACCGGUGGCGAAGGCGGAUCUCUGGGCCUGUCCUGACGCUCAGGCGCGAAAGCUAGGGGAGCAAACAGG
Molecule: ribosomal RNA, 253 nt
Filed under: uncultured bacterium
Lineage: Bacteria
Description: partial 16S ribosomal RNA
Rfam family: Bacterial small subunit ribosomal RNA
Source: RNAcentral